AGCUAAGGUAAACCAUGUGAUCACCCUCGCGCCCGACGCAGAGUAGCUGUAAUAAAUGCUUGGGAAGUUAUAGAGAGAAAGGAUACGAUCCCAGUGAUUAAUGCCAAAGCCCUGUUGCCUGGGGAGAGGGUGAUGCUUGACUUUCUUGUACAGCUGCAGUUUGUGUGGUGAAGGUGCUCCCACAAUGUGGUUGGGAUACUACAGGUGGACAUUCAGAUGGUAAUCUCAGUCAUUGUAACACCAAACUCUGAUUGAAUUAGUCAAUUCAUCAGGACCUGGAUAUUCGCAUUGUGUGGUCAUCAGGAUCUGAAUAUCAUUGACAUUUAACUGUGGAAGGAGAAAGAGUGCUGAAAGGGCAGAUUUGUGGAUGAGAAAUUCAAAUUGAACUUCCUGUUCGGUUUUGAUAGUUA
Molecule: long non-coding RNA, 410 nt
Organism: Hemiscyllium ocellatum (epaulette shark)
Lineage: Eukaryota; Metazoa; Chordata; Chondrichthyes; Orectolobiformes; Hemiscylliidae
Exons: 5
Source: RefSeq, a predicted model, not a curated record